GCGCUUGCUUUGGCACCACCUAUAUUAAAAUUGGAAUGAUGCAGAGAACAUUCUCAUGGUCUCUGCACAAAGAAGGCAGGCACAUUUGUGAUAUUUUAGUUUUUU
This is a small nuclear RNA of Anolis sagrei ordinatus, 105 nucleotides long. Lineage: Eukaryota; Metazoa; Chordata; Lepidosauria; Squamata; Anolidae. The record is from RefSeq and is a predicted model, not a curated record.